UGGUCAACCAGCAAGAAGCCAUCCCACCC
RNAcentral lists this non-coding RNA (29 nucleotides) under Mus musculus (house mouse). Lineage: Eukaryota; Metazoa; Chordata; Mammalia; Rodentia; Muridae. The record is from RNAcentral.